AUUGAACGCUGGCGGCAUGCCUUACACAUGCAAGUCGAGCGGAAGCGCGGGGACCACCCUGGUGGCGAGUGGCGAACGGGCGAGUAAUGCACAGGAACGUAUCCUCCCGAGGGGGCUAACCUAGCGACAGUUGGGCUAAUCCAGCACGAGCUCAGAGUAGGAAAGCGGGGGAUCAGAGAGGGCCUCGCGCCGGAGGAGCGCCCGUUGUCCGAUUAGCUAGUUGGUGGGGUAAAGGCUUACCAAGGCAACGAUAGGUAGCCGAUCUGAGAGGGUGAUCAGCCACACUGGAACUGAGACACGGCCCAGACUCCUACGGGAGGCAGCAGUAGGGAAUUUUGGGCAAUGGGCGCAAGCCUGAUCGAGCCAUGCCGCGUGAGUGAUGAAGGCCUUCGGAUUGUAAAGCUCUGUCAUUCGGGACGAAAUUAUGUGGACGUAUACGCCUAUCUGUUGACGGUACCGAAAGAGAAAGCAACGGCUAACUACGUG
This 486-nucleotide ribosomal RNA is filed under the name uncultured bacterium. Its description in RNAcentral is "partial 16S ribosomal RNA". It matches the Rfam family "Bacterial small subunit ribosomal RNA", at positions 29 to 507 of the family's 1533-position model. The record is from RNAcentral.